GUAUGUAUGAUGUAUGUAUGAAUGUAUGUAUGCAAGCAAAAAUCUUCCUUUUCGCGAAAGAAAACAAGGAAAGAAGAAGAGUCAGUGGUCGUUCUCUGUUUCUUCUACCUUCUCUCUCAUUGGAAGGAAUAAGAAAAGACGAGAGAGAGAGAAAGAAAGGGAUAUAUCAAUAUUCUACAUUCGUGUACGAACGGUAUAGUAUAAGAGAAAGAUAGAAAUAUACACGCGCUAUUCGGCCGACUCUCAAAGUGACGAGCGCGCAGCCAUCAUCAACCGCGCUCGUCGACGACGACGACGCCACUGGACUGCACUGGUGGACAUCCAGCAUUUACAAAACGUCGCUGUCGUAAACGCAACGUUCUUUUCCUCGUUUUCGAGAACACGCUGUCCUGAUGUUGCAUAGCACUUUUGUGAUAUAUGUAUCGUGUGCGUGUGUAAUGGCUCGUAUCUCGUCCACGUUUUACAAAGUAUCGAGAAAGGCCGCGAUAUACGCCGAUAAAUGUCGUUGAUUCACUAGUAAAAGGGAUAAGAAGCGGGAAAUUCGAAACUCGUUCGAUUGACGACGUUAUAACCUAGUCUUCUCGAGUGACACUCAGAUCGUACUUUCAAGGUAAGUUAAUCCUAUAAACGUAUUACACCCUUUCAUAUUCCCUUUAUCUUCGUUUCUUUGUGUUAUUCAUAUUGAAAUAAUACGAAGCGAACAAUGCAUGAAUAUCUUCCGUAAACGCGGUACAUUUCGAACUCUUUUGUUUAGCGCGUUCGAGGAAUGUGCGAUGAGCUAUAAACGAGAUACGCCGAGGUCUCGCGUGAAUAUAACUCGAGAGAGAAAGAGAGAGAAAGAAAAUGAGAGAAUGAAUAGGUUAAUUAACAUUAAUCGGAAUGUGAAGUCCUUGCUGACAUACAUAUCCAUACAAAAAAAUACGGAAAGAAAAAAAAGUAAUAAUAGUAUUCGUAGAGGAUGUUCUUGUUCUUUUUUUCUUUUUUCUUUCUCCUUCUUUUUUUUAUCCUGAUAUCAUGGUCAUCGAAAUGAAACGGUGUGAUUCGUUUAUCGAAUGAAAAAAUAUAACAGAAGUAUCGCGAAGUUACUUUUUCUAUCUAUUUUGAAGUAUUAAAUUAAUGUUUCAAAUUUGAAAUAGCCCACAAUAAAAUGAAUACGAAUCUUAAAUAAUAAAACGUCCUAUGGUCGCUCGAAAACUUAGAAUGGAUCGUUUAUAGAUCGUAAUAAACGUAAAUUACGCGCUAUCGUCUUCGCUCUUGAUCGUAACUCGCGCUCGUGUUCAUCGAUAAAGUCAUUCUUUCGUUAUCGUUUACGGUCAUAAGGCAUGCGAUCUUUGUUUCUGCGAUUUUGUUUUAUUAUUUUUUUCCGUUCGAAAGAAAAAAUUAAUUUUCUUCCCAGUUCCCUUGAACGGGUAAUAGUGAACGUCGAAAAGAUUUUUCGACGAAAGAAAUUUCUUCGUUAUAUCAAACAACAAACAAAUUGAUUUUUCUUCGUCUUGUAGUCUACGGUAAGAACGAUCAACGAGCAUUUUAACUGACACGUAGCAACUCCAUUGAUUAUACGUACAAAUCGUAGAUAUAUCAAAUCGUAUCGCGAAUCAACUCGUAGAUGAAUUAUAUGAAAAGAAAGAUCGAGGUAAUUGAGUAGGAACGAAUACUUACGGGCUGCAUCAUUUUUUACGAAUAAUUCGAGAGAUAGAUAAAAAGAGAGAAAGAGAGAAAGAGAGAGAAAAAGAGAAAGAAGUGAUUUAUUAAAACGGCAAGUCCCUCGGGAUGGCUACUACUACUAGCGGACAGACAAAAUCGUAUCAACUGUUUGAUCACGCGAAGCACUAUGAAAACGACGUUUCUACCACGGUGUUUCUCGUAUGCUCGAUAUGAUGACGCUUAUGAAUUAAUUAGAUAAUAACUCGCGACAAUUAGAGACUGGCUAGGCGCACGCGAAAGCAUCUGCUUCUCAUCUCUCGCGGAAAAAUUCGUUGAUAGAGCUUCACCAAUGGCGCGUACAAGAAAGACAAAGACGAAGAAACAGAUAGAUAAAUAGAUAGAUAAAUACAUACAUAUAUAUAUGUAUAUAUAUGCAUAUAUAUAUAUGCAUAUAUAUAUAUAUAUAGAGGGAGAGAGAGAGAGAGAGAGAUUAAGAGAAAGAGAGAACAAAUCGAGUUGAGGUCAUAUCGAACUAUCUAGGACCUCAUAUAUUUUUUACUAUGUCGGGAACAACGAUAUUGUUUUCGAUGAGUUUAAACUCCUCCCGUUGUCCCAGUUUGUUUAGGACCACGAUACUUACAAUUAGAAGAAGAAAUACAUAAGCGAUAAACGGUUUGCCAUCUUGCCUGAGUGGACGCGCGCACACUUUCCAAAGGAAGAGCAACGUACCCCGUCGCGUUCGAUGAAUCACACAUUUGUUCUCUGCGGUCCACCAUUGUCCGACUUUUCCGAGAUAUAAUUAUAUCGCGUUCAACGCAUUUUUUCCAUUUCUUUAUUCCCCGAAACGAUUUUGUCUCUCGAAAGUAUGCAUACGUGUUAAUAUACUGAUAAUUCUUUUCCUCUUUUGUUUUUUUUUCUUUUUUUAAUAAAAGUCGAUAAAACUUCAGAAUCGAUAUACAAGAUAAUAUAGACUUUCGAAGGAAUACGAUUUCGAGGCGAAAUUCAGGGGAAAUUUUUUGUUACAAGUUGGAAAUAAAUAAAAGGGAUAAAGGUUAAGGUUUCGAAACGAUAGAUAUGUAAUUGUUUGGAAUUAUCGAGGAUUAUUUUCUUUUUUUUUUUUGAAAAUUUCAUUUUUGUUUGAAAGGACGUCAAAGAACUUUAGAAAUUUUAUACAUAUUCAAAGAUCUUUAGAAAGAUGAUUCAAAGAUCUUUACACAGAUUAAUAGGAAAUGAGAAUUGUUGUUGAUUUAUUCUGUUCAAAAUCUGCUCGAUGAACUUUACUUAACAGAAGAUAAUUUAUAAAGCAACUUUUAAAAGUUCAUCGAUUUAUCAAUUCUUUUUCGACGUUAACAACGAUUUUUCAUUCUUUUCAGAUUUUUCCCUAGGGAGAAUAAAGUCUACGUAACUUUUUCGGUAAUCCACGAUCGAGCUUGUAGUUCGAGAGAAAGAUAAGAAUAGGAGAAGAGAGAGAGAGAAAGAGAGAUUUGUUCGACAUCGAUACAGAACGAUAACGAGGCUAAUAAACACUCAAAAGAUAAGACACCUCGUAUGGCGCAAAGUAGAUCUCGAUCUCGGAUUCGUCACGAGCAGCGUUGUAAAUUACCACGUGAUAAAAGAAAAAUCGAGAAUACAUUGAUCAAAGGGGAAAAAAAUGUUUCAUCGAUGAACAAGUGCGAUUAUUCAAAAAAAUUCCAUAACCCCGUCGAAUUCGAACUGCCUGCGAGUUAUUUUUUAAAGAAACUUCACGUCGAUCAAAGCGAUGAAAAACUUCGAUCAAUCAAAGAGAAACGAUGGAUGAUCUUUGGCGCGAAAAAAAAUUUUUCACGAAUCCGUAUGAUGUUAUCAACGUAUCAACAUUAAUGGAAGUUGUAUCAACAUUAAUCCUUAAAAAUUAUACUAUUCGCUCGCCUCUAAUGCAUUUCUUCGUUGAAUCAAAAAAGAAAUAACAUUGUUAUUUCCUGUGUGACUUUAUCGCAUAAAACCAAGGAUGUUUUGGAAAUACGAGAAUUUUGCUUUGAAUGUAUUAAAUUAGGAACAACACGACAUAUACAAGCUGAGUCAAUAAUCAUGAAAGCUUUUGAAUAUUACAUAACAUGAAAAAAAAGGGAACGAAAAAAAAUUGUUCCGCUCUAUUGGGAUAAAUCGAUUUUGAAAUCGUAACUAAAGUACAUUUUACUCCGCGAUCGAUGGAUAAUAGCGACACGAGUCACGUUUCGUGGAAAACCUUUACAAUGUGAACACGAAGUUACCAAGGAGGAGGAAGGUCGAAGCGAUUCUGAAAGUCGAGUAAACAGAAAUACAUUAUAUUAUGAGGUAAAUGGAAAAGUCCGCAAUUGCAGAAGUCAUGAUGGUAAUUUUCCGAAAAGGAAGGAUACACGCGAUGCGGGUUUUAAUCCUGCGUCUGUUCAUUGCAGAGGUUGAUCGAAAAGAUACUAGUAUUUUUAGUGAUUUCUAAUAAUAUUCCAAUAUCCUAUAUAACUAAUAGAUUAUAUUUAAAUAUUACUAAAAAAAAAAAAAAAAAAAAAAAAGAGAGAAAAAAAAGAAA
Vespula vulgaris is the source of this 4189-nucleotide long non-coding RNA. RefSeq lists it as uncharacterized. The transcript is spliced from 6 exons. The record is from RefSeq and is a predicted model, not a curated record. Lineage: Eukaryota; Metazoa; Arthropoda; Insecta; Hymenoptera; Vespidae.